CCCUUAGAUGUUCUGGGCCGCACACGCGCUACACUGGCAGGUUCAUCGAGCUUCAUGCCCUGAUCUGAGAAGAACGGGAAAUCUUUGAACACCUGCCGUGCUUGGGAUAGAUGUUUGCAAUUAUUCAUCUUCAACGAGGAUUGCCUUGUAAGCGCACGUCAUCAGCGUGCAUUGAAUACGACCCUGUAUUCUGUACACACCGCCCGUCGCUCCUACCGAUUGAAGUUUUCGGUGAAUUUACUGGAGAUCCCUUUUGAAGGUGGUUCGCCACUGGAAGAAGUAUUCAAAAGUAAAUGAAUCGAAUGCUUUAGAGGAAGGAUAAGUCGUAACA
RNAcentral lists this ribosomal RNA (331 nucleotides) under uncultured eukaryote. RNAcentral describes it as "partial 18S ribosomal RNA". It matches the Rfam family "Eukaryotic small subunit ribosomal RNA", at positions 1470 to 1796 of the family's 1831-position model. The record is from RNAcentral.